Molecule: long non-coding RNA, 11614 nt
Filed under: Panax ginseng (ginseng)
Lineage: Eukaryota; Viridiplantae; Streptophyta; Magnoliopsida; Apiales; Araliaceae
Description: long non-coding RNA (PGIN_LNC016474)
Source: RNAcentral
ACCACAUAGAAAAUAAAGUUGCAACCAACCAUCACAAAUAUGUAGUCUAAUAACUAAUAAAACACCACAUAACAAGCCAAAAUAAUGUCUAGACUCUCUGCACUAGUCUUUAAACAUCGUUCAAGCAAACUCAUCAAGGAAAAGGUCAUCUCCAUCUCCACGAGAACUACUCUCAUUCAAAGGCGUGGAUGGUCUUUGUCCAAAAUCAUCCUCCACAUCUUCAUCAUCAUUUAGAAUUCUUUCUUCUUCAACUUCAUCAUCGGAGAAGGAAUCCAUCAACCUUGAUUCCCUUGAAGUUGAACCACCACCACGUCGAGAGUACAUCAUGAGAUUAUGACUAGUAUUAGCACGAGCCCUCCUUGAAAGAUUGCGACCCUCAAACGUGUUGGAUACACCAGUUGCUAGAUCCACAUCAUUUCAUAUAAGAUCCUCCCAGGGAUGAACAACAUCAACCUUAUUAUUGAUGUGACACCCCCAAAUCCGGGUACCUUCAAACCUUGGAUAUGGUGCUACACGGUAUUACAACAUACACAUAUAUCUGACAAUAUAAGCUUAAUGACAGGAUUGUAAUUCUAUAUUAUUACAUCAUAUCCGUUCAAUCUCAGAUUCUGAAACCAUUACCUAUUCAUAAUGUCAUAAUAUUACAUAUUACAUAGUAAUAUUAAGCUCUUACACAAUCUUCUAUUCCUUCCUCUUUAUCCUUUCUCUAUCCUUCCUGGAUUCUUCAGUAUGUUCACCUUAACUGAAAUCAUAUAGUUUAACAGGGUAUGGGCAUUUAAUUGUCCAGCAAAUAUUACAAUUCAAUAACAAAAAAUUCAAGAAUCAUAUGAUUUCACUUCAAUAAUUGAACAAAUAGUUAUGAAGAACUAUAAAUAAUCAAAGAGCAUUUUUGUUUCCUUCUUUCCUUUAAGACAUUUCCAGAUGAUAUAUCAGUCAUUAAAAUUAUGAGUUGGUCAAAAGAUCAUGAACUUUAUUUUUCUUUACUUGAAAAGGACAACCCCGAUACGAAGACCGUAAGUCUAAUAUAUCUUAUCAACACUUCUAGAUAAUCAGCCUAUAGUACUCUAUGUUGUACAACACCCAUCCGUUUAAAUGACACUUGCGUUUAAAUUUUGGUCACCUUUCAUGAUAGUCGAAAAUUUGACUAAGAAAUCUUUCGUGUAUUCUUCCUCAGACUUGACCUUUAAAUCCUUACCAAAGCAAUUGGUUUAGGAUAACAUCAAUAAUAUUUUGAAAGACUUCGAAAUAAAUCAACAAAAUAUUUUAACAUUUGUCUCGCUGAAUCAAAUGGCAUCGACAAUUUUUUAAACAUGUCAUAGCAUGGCUUAAACACUUGUACAAAUACUAAAAGAUUUGUAUAAGUAAGGAAUACACAUUCAUGCAAGAAAUAUGUAUAUUUAAUCUUAACAUCAUCAUAUAAACUUCAAUUGAUCAAAAUCAACAAAGUUACAAAACUUGUCUAACAUAAAGUAUAGACAAGAGUUUAAAAAGUUUGCACAACACUAAGGUUAUACUUCAUAUAGAAAAACUUGCAUAACAAAGUUUAUACAAGAGUUAGAAACUUGCCACAAGCAAAACUUGAACAAGAUUAGAGAACUUGCCUUUAGCGUUCUUUAUCAUCUCGACGAUAUUCAUCCUUCAAAUGUCCUAAACAUUUACAUUAUCCAUAACACACUCAUUAGGCACAUAACGACACCAAGUUUGGUUUACAUUAACUUUACUUAUUUCUUUUCAUGUUUGUGUCAUUAGACUCAGAGAACUUCUCAAGUUUAUUAUUACUUGUUAUAGCAUUUCGGUGUUCGAUUACCGUACGCCUAUCAUAGUCUUUGUGAACACCCAAGCCAUAUGCUUAUGCUUAGCAUAUGCUUGUUAUACCUUUGCAUAUGCUAAGCACGAUCCCACAACCUUUCAUAACACUCUUCGAUUUAAUUUAAGUGUUUUACAUCAACUCCUCUUUAUAAUGUACUUUACCCAAUUCAUUUAAUUCGUUACCUUCAUUACUGUUCGUUACGGCUUUCCGACAUUUAAACAUCACACAUCUUUAUCAUUUAUUAAUGUCUAAGACAUUCAAUCUUAUGUAUGCUAAGAACAUUAAUGUCUAAGACAUUCAAUCUUAUGUAUGCUAAACAUUUACAUUGUUUAAAUAUUUUUUACGUUUACAAUUCUUAAUCUUUUAAUCAACUUUAAACCAUUAUCUUAAUGUUUGAAUCACUUAUUAAAGUGUUACAUUAAGUGAACUUCAUGUUCAUUAUCAUUCCACAUACUUUCCCCAAGCUUUGAGCAGUUAAAAGCUCUUCACUGGGCCCUGCACCGACACUACGGCGCCAGGAUCUAGUACAAAUCCGGCAUUGCGGCGCCCAAUUAUAGUACCUAGCUCCCGAGCCAGCGAUGCGGCGCCCAGUUUCUAGCUUUGGUCGGCGCUGCUGCGCCAGGCCUAUUCCUUUGAAAAUUUUCUAGUCUUUUAACAUGUUCAAACUGCUAACUUUGCUAACUCGUAACUUCAUCAUUCCAAUUCGGAAUGAAUCCGUUCCCGAGCCAAAUUCUUACUUCCAUUACAUACUACAAUUUCCCCUUGACGGAAUAAUUUUCUAAAUCCGUUAACUAGCCUUUUCGUCGGCUCAAAAUUCCUUCGUCGUUCAUUUUAUGUUCUUAACGUUUAUCGUUCGUUCGUCCAUAACUUACUCAUCUGAUACUCGAAUAAAUUCGUUCUUAAGCCCACGACUCACAUUUUUCAUGUUCUUGAACAUUCUUAUGAAACCCUAAUUAUUCGGAAUCAUUAACUAAUAUCACAUAUUCGUCUGGAAAUCAUAACAAACUACGAUUUCCACGAUUAACAUAUUUUACUAAAAUUUCCGCCAUAAACUUCGUUAUAGCAAAUUUUUACUCGGUUCCAAAGGGAACAUUUCCACAACUUAUCCAUGUCUAAUAUCUCCUAACCAAAUAUAACAACCAACAUAUAUAAGAUGGUUUUAAACUUGUCCAUCAACAACAAGCUCUAAGUUUUUCAUGCAUUCUUCGUUUAAUUCGUUAUUAACGAUUACGAUUUCACUUAUCAUGCAUUUAUUAGUGUUUUAAGUCCACUAAUUCUUCGUUAUUCCAUCGGAACAUAUUAUGAUUCCAUCGAAUCAUUCACAACCACCAACAAAGCACUUCCUAACAAAUCUACGACUUGAAAAAGAUGAAGAUUUAGGGUUCUUAGUUAUUACCUCUGUGUUCUUGAUGAUUGAUGAACUUAGCUAGCUUUUCCUUCUCCUUGAAUCCGAAAUUCUCCCUUCUCUCUCAAUAUAUGAGCUUUCUCUUUGAAUGUGUUAGAUGAAUUAAGAUGACACAUUGAAGAGAAAAAUAUAUUAGCUUUUAUAGAAAAGCAAGACUUAAAGCUUUAUGGUCUUUUAAGACAACUUUGCUAAAGCUUAUGAAUUGAUCACUUUUAUUAGUGUCUUGAAUGGUCAACACCCUUAGGUUUGCAUAAUUUACUAACCAUCCCCUCCUUAACCAUCAUCAAUUAACCAUGGUUUGAUUAAAAUGAUGAUGCUUGACUUUUUGGUCCAAAAUCAUUUAAUUCCACCUCCUUGCUAGCAAGAUCUUUUGCCAAGCUUCCCUUGGAAGCCUUGGUCGGCUAUGUGGUGUCCAUGGGGCCCCACAUGGGUUGCCCCAACCAACUUAACCCACCCAUGACCCAUGGUUGACCAUCUUUGUUGGAUCUUGGUUUGGGCUUGGUUCGAUAUUCAAUUUGAGUUAUUCUUUGGGCUUGGAUUAGCAUUCAUUUGGGUCUUGAACUAAAUUGUCAUUAGAUCUCCUAACAUUUCCUAUUGGGCUUCUCAAAGUCAAAGCCCAAUAGCCUAAUAGUUCAUGUUCACUUUUGUUGACUUUAACUUUCCGUAUUCCUACCGUACAAUUUUCAUAUUAUACACGUAUUAUAGUUCUUAUAAUUUUUGUAUUAUACGCCAUAUUAAUCUUCGUAUUAUACUCGUAUAAUAAACCGUAUUAUACUUGAAUAACUUUCAAAAUUCAAUAGUCUGAAAACUGCGUUUUUUGGUUCUCAAACUUUAUUUGACAUUCCGUCUUUCCUCAUCAUUUUAACGUUUAUGCGUUCUUCGAAAAAUCAAAAAAACGCAAAAGCGUUUUCGGGUGAAUAAUGUUCUUACGUCUUUUUCUCGAAAAAAAAUUAUUUUCUCCUACGAUCUCGGAUUCGUAAACCCCAACAUUCAAACACAUCCUAGGUCAUAGAAUCGACCUUUAAAUACUUAACACAGAAUAAAAUUCAUAUAUUAUUAUUUUAUUCAAUAAUACUCCACAAAGCUUAUAUCAGCUAAGUAAAAUUUCUCGGUCGCUACAAUUGAUCCAUUCAUUACCCCAUUCAAAGUCAUCAAUAGCUAAUAGAUAAAAAAAAAAAUCAAAGUUCACGCCUUUUUUGGAACCUUGAGACGAUCUUUCGAUUGUAUUGAACAUACACCAAGUCACUCAAUCGUUUGUAUUCCAAUCUAUUCCUCUUCUUUAUAUGAAUCUAAAUAAAUAGAACAAAAAUAAUAAUAUUAAUGAUAAAUUUUUAAUUAUAAAAAAAAUAGUUAGUAUUAGUAGUAAAUGACUUAUUACUUUUGAAAUUUGAAUCAACAAUAAAAAGUAUUUACAAACUCAAAUGUACUCCAAUUGCGCUCACAACCGAAAGAAGAACAACAGAGGCCUAGAAUUCUUUUUGCAAACAAGGAUAGCUCAAUAGCCCACCCUCCAAAAGCAUUCCACCAAUCAACUAGCAAACAUUUAAAAAAAAUAUAAAUAUUUUUGAAGGGAGGAAAGGAAGAAUGUAUAUAAAUUAUAAUUAUAAUUUAGCUUUUAUAUCUUUAUAUAUAUACAUUAAUAUACUUACGAGGAUUCUUUAUUUUCCGUUGCCUAAUCGCCAUUUCUUUUGCAAAAGUAUCUUGAGAAGCAUCAUAGUUAUCGGCUAGAUUACUUAUCUUGUCUAGCAAAUCUAGCUUGGGCACCAUCUUUGCAACAGUUGCAUUGAAGUCUUCUUGUAAAGUUCCAGCAAACACCAGACGUUCCUCUUUGAUAUCAAAGUACUUGCCCGGAUUGAGAAACAAUGCAUCCCUAUAUAAUUUUUGCUCCAUUUGACUUUCCCAUCGACGCUCAACAAUGACAAUCACCUUUUUAUACAGUCUGUUUGUUAUCAAAUGCAUCUUUGUUUUUUUUUCUUCACACAUUCCAUCGCAACGAAAACUUCUGGCAUAGCAGGCUUCUCAUCACCAUCAACAAUCCUCAAAACUAUAAAAAUUGGUUGUGACACCCUAAUGCAAUCCUCAACAUGAUGCCAAAAUGUUGUUGAAAUAACAGUAUCACAUACUUUCUUUCCCGCUUUAGUAGCCGACAACUUAAAUUUUGUUCAAUCCUCGCUUACGAACAAAUGCAUUUUUAUUCUUGUACAAACUUUGCAAGGUGAGGAAAGGUGUAGCAAAUCUAGUAACUACGGGUCUCACAAGAUCCCUCCCAUUUCUUUUGUCCCUUAUCGCAUUAAGAAGACGACCAUGCCUAUAAAUGAAUGUUGUGAUUCUUUUUGCAUUUGUGAUUGUGGGCUGGAAUUGCUUCAACAUGCCUAUGUCCUCUAGCAUAAGGUCAAGCCAGUGAGCGACACAAGGUGUUCAAAACAGUAUAAGCCUUGUCUCCAUUAGUAUAUGCCUCGCUGCCUUGUAAUUAGAGGCAUUGUACGUGACUACUUGAACAACAUACUCGGGGCCAAUUUCCUCAUUCUUUCUAUCAAGUAGAUUUGCCAACAUUGUGGCAUCUUGCGACUGACUGGAGGCAUCAACAGAACCCAUGAAAUAAGUCCCCUCCGGACUAUUAACAAGGAAAUUCAAUAAGUGUCUUCCCCUCUUAUUUGUCCAACCAUCUAACAUCAACCAUAUUCCUUCCAAACAACUUCAUGUUUCUUCUUUAACUCGUCGGUUUUCGUCUUUGCCUUCUCAAGUAAAGGAACUCUCAAAUCAUGAUACGUUGAAGACUUUAAACCCGACCCAUAUUGCCCUAUGGACUCGAUCAUUACUUCAAAGCUCCUUGCAUUUGCAACAUUGAAUGGUAUGCCACACUCGUAGAAAAAAUUGGCAAUGUACACAAGACUCUCUCCUUUUCCUCGUGUCCUCAAACAAUUUUAUAUACUCGUUUGGCUUAAACGCUUGAUAUGCCUCUCCUCUACAACUUCUUCGGAGUCUUCCUUAAAAGUGCUUCAACCAUCUUUGUUGGGGCUUUUGGAAUUGAAAUACAACUUUCUUUCUUUUAGAAGUCGUCCCAAAACUUGGGAUAGUGUUAGAAGUAUUGGAAACCAUGGUUGGACGAGCAGAUGAUUGUUCUUCUAGCACUUCUACAUCAUCAUCAUCAUUUAGCUCAACUGGUUUGUUCCUCUUUCUACUAUUCAAAACCGCUUGCAUCUCCAUCAUAAUUUCUAUUGUUUUAGGGCACUUCGCUACAUCCCAAAAUUUUCGACUAGAUGUCGCUCGAGACUUUUGAUGCCCGAAUGACAUUUCUUUUCGCGAAGUAUACAUUGCACAACAUCCUUAUUACUUAAAUCUAGCCAAUAUCCAUAUUUCCAACCCGGAUCGUUCGAUUUAGCUUUUCUUUUAGUCUUUCGUUAUAUCAUAAUUAUCGGACCCCGAACUUUCCGCCAUUUUACUUUCUACACAAUACAAUCAAAUAAAAAAUAUAAGACAAAUUGUAUCAUUGAUGAAUGUAACAUCAGUUGUGGUAUCACUAUCUAACAUCAAUGGAUAAAAUGUAAAGAGUACAUGUAUAAAAUAUAAAUAACAUAUAUAAAUGUAUAUAUAUAUAUAUAUAUAUAUAUAUAUUGUAUAAACUUAUUUUUUAUCCUUUCUGAUUGUUAUAUAUAUACUCCUUUAUGCCGAGUCUGCUGGUUAUAUAUUAAUUUUUAUAUAUAUAUAUAUAUAUAUAUAUAUAUAUAUAUAUACAUAACAAGCAAUCUGAUAAGGGACAAAAAAAAGCUAAACAAUAAACAAACAUAACUCGCACAAAUAUAUAGCACUUGACACUAGCACUACGCAAUGAAAAAAAAAUGCAGCAGCAGGGCAGAAAAGGGAAGGAAAAAAAAGAAGAAAUCAAAAAAUACUUGUUGAAGUGCCAAUCGGAGUUUUGCAGCCUCGCCGGAAGGGUUUUCGAAGUCGACAGUCGAUGAGGUACUCUCUCUCUCUCUCUCUCGUUUACUACUCACAGUCGCUCGUUGACUCUUUCUUCUCACAGUCGCUCGUCGACUCCUUCUCUUCUACUGCAAAACAAAGUUCGAUCUUCUCUGCGAAGAAGCAAAUCAGUUCGAUAGGGCUAGUUGCCCAGUUCCAAGCGACGUCGUUUUUCCUUCUUUUUUUAACCUAGUGGGUUGAUCCAUACGCGCAGUAGACAAGUCGGUCGAUCUGUCGUCAAGUCGUUGAAGUCGACGUCGGGUCGUCCAAGGCGACGACUUCUUUUGCAAGGCGCUCGACUUUCGACCCAAACCCAAGUCGCCCGAUCGCCUUGCCUUCCCCAUACCGACUGGACACCUUGACAUCGCCUAAACGACGCCUUAACAACUAUGUAAGACAUGACUGUGUGGAUGAGCGCUCGAUAGUAAUAAAGUAAUAUAGUCAUUGUCUUUGUUAAAACCAAAGUAAUUUGGUGGAUUCCGGUAGGGGUGAAAACGAGUCGAAUCUCAGCGAACACUCUAGUGCUCAGAUUCCGCUCGACUCGAAAAAAUUGAGCUCGAAUUCGAUAAAGAAUUUCUAAUUUUGCGCCAGAUUUGACUCGGAUCAUUACUCGGACCUACUCGGCUCGUAAGUACUCGAUUCGUUUACAAAAGUUACUCACGAGCCUUCAAAUCGAUUUUCGAAUAUGAACCAUUUCGCUUAAUACUGAACCACUACAUACUAAAUUGAUUAUUGAACUAAUGUUUAUAUAUAAGUCUUACUUUUAUUUAUGUAAAGAAAUUACAAAAAAUGUAAUACGAAUUGACAAUCAAUUCACUGAUUUAUUCAAGUACAAGCUUACACAAUUUAAUACUACACUUUAUAAAUUAUAAAGAUUGAUACAAAUAUCACAUAUUUAGCUUAUUAGUAUGGAUCAUCGAGCAGGUAUCGAGUAUGGUUCGAGAAAAAAUGAAAUACUCGAACCCUAAUCUGAGCGAAUACUGGUAUACUCGAAUUCGACUCGUGUAUCAUUAAACAGAAAACGAGAAUGGAUCAUAUUCAACUCGAAUCAACUUCGAAUUCGAGCUUUGGAUCAUAUUUUCGAACCAAUCUCGAGUCGAGUAUCAAGCUACUCUGCUCGGCUAACACCCCUGGAUUCCAGUUACAAAAGUCAUAGGCAGGGAUUGUUAUGGAAUAAUUCCAAGAAACGUUAUCAAGUUAUCGCCUAGUCGUCGACUAGGAGUCUGAGCGGUAGCAAACAGUAAGUCGAAGGGACGACUUGAGCGAAUAAGCUAAGUUGCACGACUUGGUGAAGAAAUCGUCGCCUUGGGUCGCCUUGGCCGACUACCUUCCAAGGUACACGAUCUAGAAAAAAGAAGAAAAAAAGGAAACGAAAGAGCAGAAAAAAAUAGAUCGAAAAAAACGAAAGAAAAGAAAAGAAGAGAUCAUCACUGUCAAAAACUUCCAUCCCCAUUGCCGGAGUCAUCUUCGUAGUAGUCAACCAACAUUGUCGACUUCACUUUAUGUCAUUAUUUGUCGUCGCAGUUCGUGUCAAUUGUUGAAUAUGCCUCUCGAUUUCAUCUUACCGCUGCUUCUUGUGUAAGAAAAGAAAAAAGAGACUGAGAUUUAAAAAUAUCUCGUCUUAGAUGAAAUAUAGUUUAGUACCUCAUAUUUUUCUUAAACUUUAGAUCUAGUCCCUUAAGUUGCAGAUUUUUCACUUGAGCCCUUAUUUUUCUUUCAAAAUCACCCCUUAGUUUUUUGAGUUUACAUUUUAAUCCCUAGACCCCCAUAUUUUCAGUAUUCCCUAUUCAUUAGUUUAGUUUUUUAGUUAGUGUAAAUGAGAUAUAAAUGUGAAAUAUUAAUAUGUUUUUUGUUUUUAAUGAUAUUUAAGAGUAUUGCUUGUGAAGUAGUAAUAUACGUAUAAAGUUUGCAUUUUUAACGACUUGUUAUAUUGUUAUCUGUCGUUGCAGUUUGUGUCGAUUGUUGAAUAUGCCUCUCGAUUUCAUUUUACCGCUGCUUCUUUUGUGUAAGAAAAGAAAAAUGAGACCGAUUUCAUCUUACCACGGCUUCUUUUGUGUAAGAAAAGAAAAAGGAGACUGAGAUUUAAAAAUAUCUUAGAUGAAAUACAAUUUAGUACCUCAUAUUUUUCUUAAACUUUAGAUCUAGUCCCUUAAGUUGCAGACUUUUCUUUUAAGCCUUUAUUUUUCUUUCAUAAUCACCCCUAUGUUUUUUGAGUUUACAUUUUAACCCCUAGACCCCCAUAUUUUCAGUAUUCCCCAUCAUUAGUUUAGUUUUCAGUUAGUAUAAAUGAGAUAUAAAUGUGAAAUAUUAAUAUGCUUUUGUUUUUAAUGGUAUUAAGAGUAUAGCUUGUGAUGUAGUAAUAUACGUAUAAAAUUUGCAUUUUUAACGACUUGUCGACUUGCGGGUGACUAGUCAGAUGUCUUGUCGCCUAAGCGCUUAAGCUCUCUCGGCUAUCGCCUCGACUUGUCGCCUUGAUAACUAUGAUUUCAUAGAGAUAGGUUUAAAGUCUUUGAAUGAAAGUUGACCUAUAAGUGGAACCCAACUAAAUACUAGAAUAACAUCUAGUAUAUUACCUCAAUGGAAAAAUAUUUAUAGUAAUAACCAGUUAUACACUAGACAAGUAUGAAGAAUAAAUUUUUCUAAACCAUCUCAAAGUUAGUGUAUGUUUGUAUAGAAAACAAAGAGAGUAGGGUAAACCUUUAAUGAAUCAAUGUCCGGUUUGGAAGAUACAGGUCAUACAAGUGCAUCUAAUUAGAUUCACCUAUGUAAGUGAAGGAAGUGGGACCGCUUCUGCAAGACUUAAGGCUUGUCUCUAGGUCACUUGUGAAACCCAAGAGGUCAACAAGAGGUAAACCUUUGUUGGGUUUCCUUAAAUUAUAAGGAUAUAGUAUGUCUAUUGAGCAGGAUAUCACUUUAAGAUUUCCUAGUUCAAACUAACGUUACUAGGAAUUCUGAUAUUUUGUUAUAUAGACUACGAAAAGGUACAUGUCGAAAGACACCUCUUACUUAUGUAUGUUAUGCCUAAAAAGAGAUAAGGUUGACAAAAUCUAUUAUUAUAUAAUGAAUAUAUUAUAUAUGGUAUUAAUAAUCAAUAAAUGUAUUUGUUCAAUGAUAAUGGUGUGAUUGAUAGUUUGAACGAGUGUAACAUUGAGCCGGUGCAAUGUUUCAACUUGGGUUACUAAUUUGAACCAGUGCGAUUGUUAAUUUGAACAGUGUAACAUUGAACUGGUGCAAUGGUUGGACUUGGGACACUAGUUUGAACCGGUAUGACACUUAGAAAAGGUGUGUUUGGUUCAUGUCUUUUCAAAUGAGUGUUUAGAAUCCUAUAAAUAUAAAUAGGAUUAUAAAACUCUCAUUUGGAGAUGGAAUUUUUUCACAACAAAUGAAUGUUCCAUAAUUCUUUUUAAGGAAUUUUGGGUUUAUUAAUUUUUCUCUCUCUCAAAUUAUAGUUUUGAAUUAAAUACUAUCAUGCACGUACUAUUAAUACAUAUUAAUUUUUGGGUAUGUGGGGGACGGAUAUUACUUUUCAGAAUUUUUUUUAUUUUUUGCUAAAUUGACUUUUCAGAAUUUUUGCAACAUCCUAUUGUGAAAGUUCCAACAUUAUUCUCUUCUUUAACCAAACAAGUGACAUACAAAUAAGAUCAGGAAAAAAAACUUUCAAGAUUUCAUUGUCCUCCUUCACUUCUUAACUCUCAAACAAGGGAUGAGAGAUUCAACUGAUAUUUUUUUUCUUCUCAACUCCCAAUCAAUAGAAGAAAAUCCACUCUCUCACACCCAAACUCUCAAAUUCUUUCUUACUUGACAACUCUAAUUCCAUCUAAAACUCCUAGCAUAGUAUUAAUAGGGAAAGAUCCAGCUUAGAAUAAUGCAAAAUUCCAUCUAAAACUCCAAACCUAGUGCUAAUAGGGGACCAUGCAGUAUAAGAUCAUUCAUCAAACCAGACAAAUAAAUACAUUAAUAAGCAAUAUAAGUAAACUGCAGCUAAUUUUCGGUUAACAAUAAUGCGCAUAUAUAACAAGUAAAGGUGUGAACAAGCCGAUCAAAAACUCAUGAAACAAAGGUUUAGUCACAAAUUGAAGAAUUAAGGCAAUUUACCUGUGUAUUUGGAAUUUAAGAGAAUCAAUUCCUCAAUAACUUAUUAUCGAACCGCGGUAGGCAGAGAAGAGAUUUAAGCCUGUGUCUUUCCUUUUGUCAAAUCCUCCGACAAACAUGAGAAAGGGACAGGAAAAUGUCCAUCGUCCGCCCCAUGGAUCCUUUUGGUGGACCCGCCUCAAAGGUAGUACUAAUAUUUAUGGGGCCUGGUCUGCCUAGGGCUAUGGCUCAUAUCCAUUGUUAGUCCUGGAAAGCGUGCCUUGACUUGUAGUGAGGAUCUAACGAAUAAUAUGAAAAAAAAAACAAGAUUUGCUUCUCACAAACACCAUCAACGAACGGGUCUGUUC